Molecule: long non-coding RNA, 494 nt
Organism: Chinchilla lanigera (long-tailed chinchilla)
Lineage: Eukaryota; Metazoa; Chordata; Mammalia; Rodentia; Chinchillidae
Exons: 4
Source: RefSeq, a predicted model, not a curated record
CCUGCCCACACCUUGAACUUGGACGUCUAGCUCCUUGAAUUAGGGAAGUGCAGACACGUCUGUGAUGUGUAGCUCCUCCCGUCUGUGGGCACAAGAACCUGCAUGUUGGAGGAAGAGGAGAACUUAGACACACCCUGAGUCAUCUCCGUGCACACAGGAGCUGGAGGCGCAGAGAGGAACCAGCUCCAGCCUGGCUGAGAUGUCUUUGUACUCCAAGAUCAGCUGUGGACUCACAACCCUUUGAUGAUGGAGCCACUUCCCCGCAGGAAAACACCAGCACCUACAAUCCAUGCAGGCCUCAGCUCCUGGCCCCCCUUCCAUGGCCUCUCUCCCAGUUCUGAGAGAGGGCCCCCUGAAUUCCCACAGUUGACUUGGAGCUUGAAAUCUGGUCCCAAUGAUAUAGCAGUGUAAUGGAAAGAGUCUUUGGAUGUGGACACCACAGCCGCUGGAUGCUCAAUCCACCACACAUCACCUCAGGAACAUCAGACAUGUCA